Molecule: non-coding RNA, 45 nt
Organism: Schistosoma curassoni
Lineage: Eukaryota; Metazoa; Platyhelminthes; Trematoda; Strigeidida; Schistosomatidae
Source: Rfam
ACCCAGCUGACGAUUCCCAGACAGGGCGAAACGCGCGUCCUGGAU